This 253-nucleotide ribosomal RNA is filed under the name uncultured bacterium. RNAcentral describes it as "partial 16S ribosomal RNA". It matches the Rfam family "Bacterial small subunit ribosomal RNA", at positions 524 to 776 of the family's 1533-position model. The record is from RNAcentral.
UACAGAGGGUGCAAGCGUUAAUCGGAAUUACUGGGCGUAAAGCGUGCGUAGACGGUAGCGUAAGUCGGGUGUGAAAGCCCCGGGCUCAACCUGGGAAUUGCAUUCGAGACUGCCCUGCUAGGGUGCGGAAGAGGGAAGCGGAAUUUCCGGUGUAGCGGUGAAAUGCGUAGAUAUCGGAAGGAACACCAGUGGCGAAAGCGGCUUCCUGGUCCAGCACCGACGUUCAGGCACGAAAGCGUGGGGAGCAAACAGG